Molecule: long non-coding RNA, 348 nt
Filed under: Manihot esculenta (cassava)
Lineage: Eukaryota; Viridiplantae; Streptophyta; Magnoliopsida; Malpighiales; Euphorbiaceae
Description: long non-coding RNA (MESC_LNC008833)
Source: RNAcentral
ACCAGCUAGCAAAGCUGCCGACUGCUUAUUACCUAAAAAAAUUAGAUUGCAAUAUUGGCAACUAGUAUAAAUAAAACUCAAAAACUCUGCAAGUACACCCCAGUUCCCCUUAUAAUAAAUGGAGCUAAGAACAUAUCUUCCCUUUUAAAUCUUGAUGACCUGAACUACAUAUCUGUUGUCAGUGGGAAAGUUCUUGAAAAAGCAGAUCAGGAACAGCUCAUCCCUCGAGAUAAAAGUCAUUACCACAAACAUAACCUAAAUGCUCUUUUUGUGAUCAAAAGGGAUUGAGUUCAAGAAAAAGCUGCGUACUAUAAACAAGGCUUUCUUUCUUGAUGCUUGCAAAGCAUA